Molecule: ribosomal RNA, 253 nt
Filed under: uncultured bacterium
Lineage: Bacteria
Description: partial 16S ribosomal RNA
Rfam family: Bacterial small subunit ribosomal RNA
Source: RNAcentral
GACGUAGGAUGCAAGCGUUGUCCGGAAUUAUUGGGCGUAAAGCGUUCGUAGGCGGUGAUUUAAGUCUGGUGUUAAAGCCCGGGGCUCAACCCCGGCAUGGCAUCGGAAACUGGAUCGCUAGAGUGCGGUAGAGGCAACUGGAAUUCCCGGUGUAGCGGUGAAAUGCGUAGAUAUCGGGAGGAACGCCAGCGGCGAAAGCGAGUUGCUGGGCCGUUACUGACGCUGAGGAACGAAAGCCAGGGGAGCGAAAGGG